RNAcentral lists this ribosomal RNA (1554 nucleotides) under Triticum aestivum (bread wheat). RNAcentral describes it as "partial small subunit ribosomal RNA". Lineage: Eukaryota; Viridiplantae; Streptophyta; Magnoliopsida; Poales; Poaceae. The record is from RNAcentral.
AUGCCCUGGCUGGCACAUCCUCUAGAUGUAUCAGUUGGUUCAGUUGCUAAACGAAAGCGCUCGCAAAUGGAUGUUUCUCAAACUGGCAAAAGAUUAAGAUAUUCAGUCUCACGCCUUCCAGAGGAUAUCUGGCGUCAUAUAUGCUCCUUUUUGCCACUGAAAGAUGCUGCGCGUGCUGCGAGCGUGUCUCAGUCCUUUAAACGUUUGUGGAGGUGCCGGUCCAACCUCAUCUUCAGUAAGAAAACAAUGGGCUACACAAAAAGUGCACGUAGACGGAGAAUAACAACAAGAGAUUACAACAGCAGAGUUGACCAUAUUCUGAGAAACCACUUAGGCACUGGUGUGAAGACACUCAGCCUUGGAUUCUAUGGUCCUUACAAUGCCAACACCGGAAAUUGUCUUGAUAGUUGGCUCCAGAUUGCUGUUACACCAGGCAUAGAAGAACUCAGCCUCAUACUCUAUUCAAAAAGUGACCAUUUAUCAGAAAAGGCAAUCUACAACUUUCCAUGCCCACUUUUGUCUAAUGGCAGCGGAAACACCAUUCGUGAGCUAGACCUUUUAGGUUGCGCCUUCCACCCCACGGUAGGAAUCAGUUGCACGAGAAGCCUGACGAGUCUAUGUCUGUCUUAUGUGAAUAUUGAGAGUGAUGAGUUGGGGUUCCUUCUUUCCAAUUCUUUGGCUUUGGAGCGAUUGGAACUCAAGGAUUGUAGUGAGAUAAUUUCCAUAAAGAUACCUUCCCUGCUGCAGCGCCUCAGCUACCUGAUGGUUUUCCGUUGUCCCAUGCUGCAAGUGAUUGAAAGCAAGGCUCCAAAUAUCUCCAGUUUUCACUAUUUUCAUGAUGAUGAUGAUGUAGAUCAACAAUUACAGCUAUUUCUUGGAGAAUCACUGCAGAUGAAGGAAAUUUUCAUAUCACAUUCCUGUGUUCUUCAUUAUGCUCUUGCCGUGCUCACAUCCAGUAUGCCGAAUCUUGAAAGGCUUACUAUGCAUUCGUAUUACGAGAUGGUCAGUACACCAACGGUAGCAAGCAAAUUCCUCCACCUCAAAUAUUUGAAUAUUUCUUUAUUUAGAUGGAACUUUGCCUCGACAUAUCUGUAUGCGGACUAUGAUAUUUUCUCGCUGGUUUCUUUUCUCGACGCGUCUCCUUGCUUGGAGACUUUCAACCUAGAUGCACCAAUGAGACGCCGGGAGCAUGACUCAAUUUUUGAAGACCCCCCCUCACAAUUGGGGCGGAUUCCAGGACAAUGCUAUGACAAUCUUAGGCAUGUGAAGAUCACUAAAUUCCGCUCCACAAAGCUAUUGGUUAAGCUCACAUGUCAUAUUCUUGACAGCACACCAUCGCUCGAGUGCCUCACACUGGACAUAACUGAUGGUGGGCCGACUUGUUCCGAGCUUGACAGAUGCUUUGUGGGCAAAGAAACUUAUAUGGAAGCCCCUAAAGCGCUUGCGGCUAUCCAGACUUACAUCGAGAGAAAAGUUCCCUCCACGGCUAAGUUGAAUGUCGUGGAGCCUUGCAGCCGAUGCCCUGCAUGCCCUUUUGACUUACAAGGGAGAUAA